RNAcentral lists this ribosomal RNA (505 nucleotides) under uncultured bacterium. RNAcentral describes it as "partial 16S ribosomal RNA". It matches the Rfam family "Bacterial small subunit ribosomal RNA", at positions 28 to 507 of the family's 1533-position model. The record is from RNAcentral.
GACGAACGCUGGCGGCGUGCCUAAUACAUGCCAGUAGAACGCACAGUUUAUACCGUAGCUUGCUACACCAUAGACUGUGAGUUGCGAACGGGUGAGUAACGCGUAGGUAACCUGCCUGGUAGCGGGGGAUAACUAUUGGAAACGAUAGCUAAUACCGCAUAAUAUUGAUUAUUGCAUGAUAAUUGAUUGAAAGAUGCUAUUGCAUCACUACCAGAUGGACCUGCGUUGUAUUAGCUAGUAGGUGAGGUAACGGCUCACCUAGGCGACGAUACAUAGCCGACCUGAGAGGGUGAUCGGCCACACUGGGACUGAGAUACGGCCCAGACUCCUACGGGAGGCAGCAGUAGGGAAUCUUCGGCAAUGGACGAAAGUCUGACCGAGCAACGCCGCGUGAGUGAAGAAGGUUUUCGGAUCGUAAAGCUCUGUUGUAAGAGAAGAACGGGUGUGAGAGUGGAAAGUUCACACUGUGACGGUAUCUUACCAGAAAGGGACGGCUAACUACGUG